AUUGAACGCUGGCGGCAUGCCUUACACAUGCAAGUCGAACGGUAACAGGUUAAGCUGACGAGUGGCGAACGGGUGAGUAAUGUAUCGGAACGUGCCCAGUCGUGGGGGAUAACUGCUCGAAAGAGCAGCUAAUACCGCAUACGACCUGAGGGUGAAAGCGGUGGAUCGCAAGACCUCGCGCGAUUGGAGCGGCCGAUAUCAGAUUAGGUAGUUGGUGAGGUAAAGGCUCACCAAGCCGACGAUCUGUAGCUGGUCUGAGAGGACGACCAGCCACACUGGGACUGAGACACGGCCCAGACUCCUACGGGAGGCAGCAGUGGGGAAUUUUGGACAAUGGGCGCAAGCCUGAUCCAGCCAUGCCGCGUGCGGGAAGAAGGCCUUCGGGUUGUAAACCGCUUUUGUCAGGGAAGAAAAGGUUCUGGCUAAUACCUGGGACUCAUGACGGUACCUGAAGAAUAAGCACCGGCUAACUACGUG
This 477-nucleotide ribosomal RNA is filed under the name uncultured bacterium. RNAcentral's name for it is "partial 16S ribosomal RNA". It matches the Rfam family "Bacterial small subunit ribosomal RNA", at positions 30 to 507 of the family's 1533-position model. The record is from RNAcentral.